GCCCAACUACAAUUCAAUCCGCUAGCAACUUAGUGAAGAUCUUAUUAAUAUGCAAAAGUUAGAGUGAAGCGGUAGGCAAUUUCUGAUAAAUUAGUUACAACUUCUCAACUGAUUUUUCUCUCUCUCUUGCUUACUCUCUUUCUCACCUCUAACCUCCUUUUCUUCUUCUUCUUCUUCUUCUCCUUCUUCUUCUUCUUCUUCUUCUUCUUCUUCUUCUUGCUAUCAUCGAGUAAUCCUUCUCUUCUUCUUCUUUCAGGUUACUCAUCGAGUAAUGUAGCUUUCAUUGUAGAAGUAACAUUGUUGCAAUUCCAUUUCUAUUACAAUAAAUAAAUAAAUCUCGUUUUUUCUCAUUAUCUUCUUCUUAAUCUUGAUACAAUUCUCCUCACCAUCCACGUGUCUGACAUAAGACACCCCUUCCCCCCUCAAAUAAAGACAUAUCUCCCUUACUUUCCUAAUUCAUUCAACUUCAGACAUUAUAAUCCCUACUUCUCCAAGAACGACCUUGUCCUCAAAUUCUUUGUUGAGCAACAAAAUCAGGAAAUCUGCUUUUGAUAUAACUCUAGUCCUCCCAGGUAGCAUCCUCCUCCCCUAAAUUUGCCCAUUGAACCGGAACCUUCACCCCCACACCAUUAUCUAUCUUCACCAUGCGUUGUUAUAGGAUCGCUACAUAUUGAAUCAAGAUCCGUCCUUCGUCGUCACAAAUUGGUGGUUGUAGUUGUGGAGUAUUGGAUGGACCAACAUGUUGAAGUAGAUUUUGUUUAGCUCUUGCAGAGGAAUUUUACCCUUCGCGUUCGCGAGAGGAACCUCGCGUUCGCGAUGAGUCAGUUGAGGAAGGAAAAUAUCAAGCCUUUGUGUUCGUGAUGGGAGCUCCACGUUCGCAAAGGGUUGGAUACUUGUCAACCGUGUUCACGAAGGAGGAAAUAUGGCCCAGUAGAAUUUGCUCGUUGCGUUCGCGAUGAGAGGAACGUGUUCGCUAAGGUUAGACAGGUAAAGCAUCGCAUUUGCAAGGGCCUUGUCGCAUUUUUGUUAGAGGACUUUUGGUCAAUGCCAUUGUUGUGCUUCACGAACGCGAUGCUUUGACCGCAUUCGCGAAGAAAGAAUUAAAUGCCUGGGUAGAAUGUUUUAAAAGGUUUUUUUCGCGAAUUUUAGCCUUGGUUCCUCCAUUGUUAGGUGAUUUUGAAGUUUUUUGAAGAGGGUUGAAGAGAGAUUCAAAGGGAAUCACUUGGUGGUAACAUUUUUGACUUUAUAAUUUAUUUAUAUAUGAUUAAAGACCUAACUGGUGGUGAAAAUUUUGAAAAAAAUGGGUGAUUAGGGCUUGAGAUUAAGAGACCUUAAAAAAGGUAUUUGAGGGGUCAAUUGGACUCUGAUUUCAGUGUUCUUGUUAUGUAUAGACUCAUGAGAGUAUGAGGAUUCUGAAAAUAUAAAUUUUACCUGAUUCCAAGACUUGGGUCUGAGGGGAAUGCUGGUCAUUUUACCUAAUUUCACGUUUUAUCUUAGAAUUUAAUUGUAAAAUCAGUUAUUUGAAGUGUUAUUUAUAUUAUAAAAUUGAAUUGAAUAGAUUUUGACCAUUUGGAGUCGAGUACUCAUGGCAAAGAUGUGGUGUCAGGUUGAUUUUGACCGGGUUCGAGGUAAGUGGCUUGUCUAACCUUGUGUGAGGGACCUUCCCCUUAGGAUAUGAUAUAUUUGAUAAUUGAAAUUCCUUGUGCGUGAGGUGACGAGUGCGUACUUGAGCUAACUGUUUGAAACCCGAUUUUAUUUUAAGUAUUUCAAUUGAGUUCCUUUCACCUGUUUUAUUCUACUUGCGAAUUUAUCUUGUUGUUAGUUUAGGAAAGCAUAUUUAGUUGACUUAAUUGCCUAUUUGUUUAAGCUACCUUAAUUGCAUUACGUGAAGGAUGUUAGGCUAGAAUUAACUAUUUUACUUAAAUAAAAUUAGAAUUUAAUUGAAUAGUCUUGUGUUGCUGUGUGUGUUUUUAAUUUGGGACUACGGGAUAAUAUCCCGGGAGAUCCCCUGUACGUAUUUAUGAUAUGGACUGAGGUGCGAGAUACCAAGAUAUCCUUAACGCGUGUAUUGAGGAUACUAAGAGAUCUUCGGGAUACCAAGAGAUCCCUAGCAUAUAUUAAGGAUACCAAGAGAUCCUCGGGAUACCAAGAGAUCCCUAGUAUACAUUGAGGAUACCAAGAGAUCCCCGAUUAGCAUCCUUACUGUAAGUGGUGGUUCCUUGUGGUUUACCUUUAUUCUCUGUUUCCGUUAUUGCACUAUUAUUAUCCUGUAUAGAUUCUUACUAUAUAUCCUCAAUAGUAUCGUUUAUCUUAUCCUGUCAUCUUUUUUAUUUACUUAAUCUCAGUAGGGUCAUGAUCUUCCUCGUCACUACCCGAUCGAGAUUAUGCUUAGCACUUACUGAGUACUAUUGUGGUGUACUCAUGCCUUUUUUGCUCAUAUUUUUCAUAUGCAAAUCCAGGUACCUCUGCUCAGACUCAUUAUCCUUGAGGCGAGGCGCUCCGUAGAGAUUUCGAGGUUUAUCUGCCAUGUUCGUAGACCGAGGAGUUCCUUUCCAUUCCUACUUUUUAGUAUUUAGUCCUUAUGUAUCUUUUGUUCUAUUUAGACAUUCCGUAGUUAGAUCUAUGUAGUAUUUUCUAGCUUGUGAUUCGUGAAUUUUCGGGUCUUGGAUUUAGAUAUUGGUUUUGAGAUUUAUAUAUGGUGUAUGCCGAGCGGUACCUUUAAACACAGUUAUCACUUUAUUUCUGCUCUUAAAUUGUUUUAUUUCCGCAAAAUUUGGUUUUAUUCCGCAAUUUAGGUUUACCUAGUCGUAGAGACUAGGUGCCAUCAUGACAGUCCACGGAGGACGAACUAGGAUCGUGACAGUGGUAAUGUGUUGAUAUUGAACCCGGAAAGUGACAAUGAAAUAGUGAUUGAGGUAUAUGUCUCAAAUGAGGCAGCUUAGCUGAUCGGGC
This 2952-nucleotide long non-coding RNA is filed under the name Nicotiana benthamiana. Its description in RNAcentral is "long non-coding RNA (NBEN_LNC020494)". Lineage: Eukaryota; Viridiplantae; Streptophyta; Magnoliopsida; Solanales; Solanaceae. The record is from RNAcentral.